This 229-nucleotide ribosomal RNA is filed under the name uncultured bacterium. RNAcentral describes it as "partial 16S ribosomal RNA". It matches the Rfam family "Bacterial small subunit ribosomal RNA", at positions 568 to 796 of the family's 1533-position model. The record is from RNAcentral.
UCCGUAGGUGGAUAAUUAAGUCAGAGGUGAAAUCCUGCAGCUCAACUGUAGAAUUGCCUUUGAUACUGGUUAUCUUGAGUCAUUAUGAAGUGGUUAGAAUGUGUAGUGUAGCGGUGAAAUGCAUAGAUAUUACACAGAAUACCGCUUGCGAAGGCAGAUCACUAAUAAUGUACUGACACUGAUGGACGAAAGCGUGGGGAGCGAACAGGAUUAGAUACCCUGGUAGUCC